CUAAUACAUGCAAGUCGAGCGGACAGAUGGGAGCUUGCUCCCUGAUGUCAGCGGCGGACGGGUGAGUAACACGUGGGUAACCUGCCUGUAAGACUGGGAUAACUCCGGGAAACCGGGGCUAAUACCGGAUGCUUGAUUGAACCGCAUGGUUCAAUUAUAAAAGGUGGCUUUUAGCUACCACUUACAGAUGGACCCGCGGCGCAUUAGCUAGUUGGUGAGGUAACGGCUCACCAAGGCAACGAUGCGUAGCCGACCUGAGAGGGUGAUCGGCCACACUGGGACUGAGACACGGCCCAGACUCCUACGGGAGGCAGCAGUAGGGAAUCUUCCGCAAUGGACRAAAGUCUGACGGAGCAACGCCGCGUGAGUGAUGAAGGUUUUCGGAUCGUAAAACUCUGUUGUUAGGGAAGAACAAGUACCGUUCGAAUAGGGCGGUACCUUGACGGUACCUAACCAGAAAGCCACGGCUAACUACGUGCCASCAGCCGCGGUAAUACGUAGGUGGCAAGCGUUGUCCGGAAUUAUUGGGCGUAAAGCGCGCGCAGGCGGUUUCUUAAGUCUGAUGUGAAAGCCCCCGGCUCAACCGGGGAGGGUCAUUGGAAACUGGGGAACUUGAGUGCAAAAAAGGAGAGUGGAAUUCCACGUGUAGCGGUGAAAUGCGUAGAGAUGUGGAGGAACACCAGUGGCGAAGGCGACUCUCUGGUCUGUAACUGACGCUGAGGCGCGAAAGCGUGGGGAGCGAACAGGAUUAGAUACCCUGGUAGUCCACCCCGUAAACGAUGAGUGCUAAGUGUUAGAGGGUUUCCGCCCUUUAGUGCUGCAGCAAACGCCAUUAAGCACUCCGCCUGGGGAGUACGGUCGCAAAGACUGAAACUCAAAGGAAUUGACGGGGGCCCGCACAAGCGGUGGAACCAUGUGGUUUAAUUCGAAGCACGCGAAAAACCUUACCAGGUCUUGACUUCCUCUGACAACCCUAGAGAUAGGGCUUCCCCUUCGGGGG
RNAcentral lists this ribosomal RNA (1000 nucleotides) under Bacillus sp. (in: firmicutes). Its description in RNAcentral is "bacterial SSU rRNA". It matches the Rfam family "Bacterial small subunit ribosomal RNA", at positions 48 to 1026 of the family's 1533-position model. The record is from RNAcentral. Lineage: Bacteria; Bacillati; Bacillota; Bacilli; Caryophanales; Bacillaceae.